This 707-nucleotide ribosomal RNA is filed under the name Acarospora sp. RNAcentral describes it as "partial large subunit ribosomal RNA". It matches the Rfam family "Eukaryotic large subunit ribosomal RNA", at positions 192 to 917 of the family's 3401-position model. The record is from RNAcentral. Lineage: Eukaryota; Fungi; Ascomycota; Lecanoromycetes; Acarosporales; Acarosporaceae.
GGAACAGGACGUCGCAGAGGGUGAGAAUCCCGUACGUGACCGGCCGCCACGCCCGUGUGAAGCUCCUUCGACGAGUCGAGUUGUUUGGGAAUGCAGCUCAAAAUGGGUGGUAAAUUUCAUCUAAAGCUAAAUAUUGGCCAGAGACCGAUAGCGCACAAGUAGAGUGAUCGAAAGAUGAAAAGCACUUUGGAAAGAGAGUCAAACAGUACGUGAAAUUGUUGAAAGGGAAGCGCUUGCAGCCAGACUUGCCCGCGGGUGAUCAGCCGGUAUUCUUACCGGUGCACUCGCCCGUGGUCAGGCCAGCAUCGGUUCGGGCGGCUGGAUAAAGUCCACUGGAACGUAGCUCCCCUCGGGGAGUGUUAUAGCCAGAGGUGCAAUGCAGCCCGCCGGGACCGAGGACCGCGCUUCGGCUAGGAUGCUGGCGUAAUGGUUGCAAGCGACCCGUCUUGAAACACGGACCAAGGAGUCUAACAUCUAUGCGAGUGUUUGGGUGUCAAACCCAUGCGCGUAAUGAAAGUGAACGGAGGUGGGAACCCUCAAGGGUGCACCAUCGACCGAUCCUGAUGUCUUCGGAUGGAUUUGAGUAAGAGCAUAGCUGUUGGGACCCGAAAGAUGGUGAACUAUGCCUGAAUAGGGUGAAGCCAGAGGAAACUCUGGUGGAGGCUCGCAGCGGUUCUGACGUGCAAAUCGAUCGUCAAAUUUGGGUA